AAAUCAUUAUAUAAACGUCAGUCAGCGAUAUUCGCCCACUGACGCAUUAUUU
Caedibacter sp. 38-128 is the source of this 52-nucleotide non-coding RNA. The record is from Rfam. Lineage: Bacteria; Pseudomonadati; Pseudomonadota; Gammaproteobacteria; Thiotrichales; Fastidiosibacteraceae.